Molecule: ribosomal RNA, 419 nt
Filed under: uncultured bacterium
Lineage: Bacteria
Description: bacterial SSU rRNA
Rfam family: Bacterial small subunit ribosomal RNA
Source: RNAcentral
GAAUAUUGGGCAAUGGGCGAGAGCCUGACCCAGCCAUGCCGCGUGCAGGAAGACGGCCUAUUGGGUUGUAAACUGCUUUUAUCUGGGAAGAAAAGGCCCGUGCGCGGGACAUUGCCGGUACCAGAUGAAUAAGCACCGGCUAACUCCGUGCCCGCAGCCGCGGUAAUACGGAGGGUGCAAGCGUUGUCCGGAUUUAUUGGGUUUAAAGGGUGCGUAGGCGGCUGUUUAAGUCAGCGGUGAAAGACAUCGGCUCAACCGAUGCAGUGCCGUUGAUACUGGAUGGCUUGAGUGUUGGAGGGGUACAUGGAAUUGAUGGUGUAGCGGUGGAAUGCAUAGAUACCAUCAGGAACACCGAUAGCGAAGGCAUUGUACUGGCCAACAACUGACGCUGAGGCACGAAAGCAUGGGGAGCGAACAGG